RNAcentral lists this long non-coding RNA (2581 nucleotides) under Equus caballus (horse). RNAcentral's name for it is "lncRNA (ENSECAG00000059768.1)". Lineage: Eukaryota; Metazoa; Chordata; Mammalia; Perissodactyla; Equidae. The record is from RNAcentral.
CAACGAAGGACCGUGGUCCCUAAAUUGGAUUUUUUUUGCCUCAACUCCCAAAUGAUCAAUCCCAACAAAGGAAGCGUCAGAUGGGCUUUCUGCUUCACGCUGAACUCUGCCUCCUCUCUAGCACUUGGUUGCUUGAAAGCUGUCUAGACUGGGCUGAAGGAAUGGGAAAGGGACAGCGGAAAGGCUCUGGGGUGGAGACAGGCUCCGGAAGAGGAGCUGGGCCUGUGAUGAGGAUCCUCCUGUUCCGUCCAGGCUGUGUCACCAUUCGUCCCAGAGAGGGCACGAGUCCUCGCUCAGGACUAGAGGUAGUACUGGAAAAUGAAGGCCAGGACAGAAAGACAGAAAACUGAAAGCAAGGCGAUUUUCUAACUGAAGGUCUGGCAGCCUCUCCAGAGCACUCUGGGCAGAGUGAAGCGGGGUUUCACUUCAGGUCAACUGGACUCGCUCUGACAGCACGUUCCUGCUUUCCCGGCACGUGAGUCUGUACCUCAGGGACCUGCCGAGCCAGCUCCGUGUGGUGCCGUGCCCCCACCACGUGAACCUUCCCCCUGGGCCCUGACUACGCCUGCGUCUCUCCCUGCAGCCCGGGAUGACUUGCCUUUGCCUGGUUACCCUUCUCAUCAGAAACAGGAGGAUGCUUGCCUUAAACCUCGAUGAUUAACAUGGAGAAUAAUAAGUUCUGACUUUAAUAAUCCUUCCGAAGAUGAAGAAAUUCUCCACGGAGCCCACUCUCCUCUUGAGUUCUGUUCAGGAAUUAAGUAUAAAGCGGAAUCGCACCCCCCCCCCCCCCAUAGGACUGUUCUCUAAAGCUGCCAUUAAUCAGGGAGAAUUGGCGACGGAAGUGUCCAUCCGAAAGACUGUUCUUACGGUUGAGACCUGCCUGUCGUGGGUGAUGAGAAAGCCACUGCCAUGUCAGGAGGCAGCGCUGUGUAGAGGACCUCAUGGCGAGGGACAGAGGCCUCCCAGCAACCAUGUGAAUGAGUUUGGAUGUGUCCCUCCCCUCACCCACCACAGCCAAGCCUGCUGAUGAGAUCUCUGCCAACUGCUUGACUGCAAUCUCUUGAGGGACCUUGAGGCAGAAGCAUCCAGCUAAGCUGUGCCCAGAUUCCUGACCCACGGAAGCUGUGAGAUAAUAAGUAUUCUUUGUUUUACGUCACUAGGUCUGGGGGUAAUUUGUUAUGCAGCAAUAGAUAACUAACACCAGCACCUACUCUAAUGCCCCAGACAUUAUGAGAAGUGCUUCAUAUACCUGAUAUCAUUUAAUCAAUAAUUUUAGGUGGGUGUUAUUAUCCCAAUUUUUUUUCAGUUGAGAAAACUAAGGUUUAGACAUCUGGGUUUGUGCUCUUAAAUUGGACCCUACAUAUGCUAGGAGUCCCUGUAUGUCACAGUUUGGUCCGCUGCUGCUGCCCCUCUGCCCUGCUCCAUGUCCCCCAAGCUCUGUCAGCUGCCUAGUUCUGUGUCUCAGAAGAGCCUGAAAGGAGACCUGGGAAUUCCUCUCAAGUUUUUUGGACAGAAUCUCACUCUCUACACUGAGUUACCUCUGCCAGGCUGUGCCACCUACUUGCAGCUCCAUUCCUGCUGAAGCAGUGGCUCCCAGCCCCUAAGGAACCCCAGCCUCUUGUUCCUUGCCACCUCUUGCCCUGGGAACCACCUGUGGGCUUGAAAGUCAAGGCUAGUGGUGCUACCCUCAGGCGGGGUAAUGGCACCCUUUCUCUUGCCAUAGGCUGGAGGUUGUUUCCUCAGAGACCACACCACACUCUUUAGGACCCAACAAAUACAACUUUUCCAUUUAUAUCAUGGGGCUGGAGAACCCAGAGGGUGCUGCUGUCACUCCAGGGGAUGGAGAACUCUCACCCUGUGGGUCCUUCCCUAGUCUCUGACAAGAAAGUGGAAACUCUGCCCAGCCUUACUCUGCUUCCUCCACAGUUAAACUGGACACAGGUUUGUGGCAGGGUAUUCCUGGGAGAGUUACACUUGCCACUGCUCAUCAGUCACGUGGGAUAGUCUCUCCUUGGGCCUUUGCAGGGGGUCAGGGGGCAGAUGUGUGGGCUGCCACAUGCCGGGUCCUGAGUCACCACAGUAGUCCUUCUGAUCACAGUAUCUAUUGGUAACUCAGUGAGGCCUUUGACACAUUGGCUGAGUCUCAAGAGAUCUAUGAUGAAUGAUUAUCUUUGGCUAAUAUUAAAAGCAAACUAACUAACUAACCAAACAGAACCGUAAGAGUUAGAAAUGACCUUUUGUGGUUGAUAAGACAUUAUUACAUUUUGCUGUACUGUGUGUGUGUUUGUGUAUGUAACCUCAUAAGCUUAAAGGAAGCCACUGCUCAGAAAGUUAGCUCCAACCAAGUGGACUUUGCACCUCAGUUCCCUGUUAAACCUCGAUGGGAAGGAGCAGAGCCCUAAGAGUCAGAAAGAACUUACGACGAGUGAACCAAGGUCCAAAGGCAACCUCUUCCUGGUGGCAGGAGAACUGGGCUCUUGUCCAGCUCCACCACCUGCUCUCUGGUUAGUCACCUCACUUCUGUGAAUCUCUUUCCUUGUAUGUUAACCCAGGAGGCUGGAGCACGUCACCUCUAAGAAAC